AUUGAACGCUGGCGGCAGGCCUAACACAUGCAAGUCGAGCGGAGCGGCGGACGGGUGAGUAAUGCCUAGGAAUCUGCCUGGUAGUGGGGGAUAACGUCCGGAAACGGGCGCUAAUACCGCAUAGUAUCAGAUGAGCCUAGGUUGGAUUAGCUAGCUGGUGGGGUAAAGGCCUACCAAGGCGACGAUCCGUAACUGGGCUGAGAGGAUGAUCAGUCACACUGGAACUGCGACACGGUCCAGACUCCUACGGGAUGUAGCAGUGGGGAAUAUUGGACAAGGGGCGAAAGCCUGAUCCAGCCGUGCCGCGUGUGGGAAGAAGGUCUUCGGAUUGUAAAGCACUUUAAGUUGGGAGGCGUUACCAACAGAAUAAGCACCGGCUAACUUCGUGCCAGCAGCCGCGGGAAUUC
This 407-nucleotide ribosomal RNA is filed under the name uncultured bacterium. Its description in RNAcentral is "partial 16S ribosomal RNA". It matches the Rfam family "Bacterial small subunit ribosomal RNA", at positions 30 to 526 of the family's 1533-position model. The record is from RNAcentral.